AGAGUUUGAUCAUGGCUCAGAGCGAACGCUGGCGGCAGGCCUAAUACAUGCAAGUCGAGCGCACCUUCGGGUGAGCGGCGGACGGGUGAGUAACGCGUGGGAACGUGCCCUUUGGUACGGAACAACUGAGGGAAACUUCAGCUAAUACCGUAUGUGCCCUUCGGGGGAAAGAUUUAUCGCCAUUGGAGCGGCCCGCGUUGGAUUAGGUAGUUGGUGAGGUAAAGGCUCACCAAGCCUACGAUCCAUAGCUGGUCUGAGAGGAUGAUCAGCCACACUGGGACUGAGACACGGCCCAGACUCCUACGGGAGGCAGCAGUAGGGAAUCUUGCGCAAUGGGCGAAAGCCUGACGCAGCCAUGCCGCGUGAAUGAUGAAGGUCUUAGGAUUGUAAAAUUCUUUCACCGGGGAAGAUAAUGACGGUACCCGGAGAAGAAGCCCCGGCUAACUUCGUGCCAGCAGCCGCGGUAAUACGAAGGGGGCUAGCGUUGCUCGGAAUUACUGGGCGUAAAGGGCGCGUAGGCGGAUAUCUAAGUUGGGGGUGAAAUCCCGGGGCUCAACCUCGGAAUUGCCUUCAAAACUGGAUAUCUUGAGUUCGGGAGAGGUGAGUGGAACUCCGAGUGUAGAGGUGAAAUUCGUAGAUAUUCGGAAGAACACCAGUGGCGAAGGCGACUCACUGGCCCGAUACUGACGCUGAGGCGCGAAAGCGUGGGGAGCAAACAGGAUUAGAUACCCUAGUAGUCC
Molecule: ribosomal RNA, 740 nt
Filed under: uncultured bacterium
Lineage: Bacteria
Description: bacterial SSU rRNA
Rfam family: Bacterial small subunit ribosomal RNA
Source: RNAcentral